Molecule: transfer-messenger RNA, 122 nt
Filed under: Acinetobacter baumannii
Lineage: Bacteria; Pseudomonadati; Pseudomonadota; Gammaproteobacteria; Moraxellales; Moraxellaceae
Description: partial transfer-messenger RNA
Rfam family: transfer-messenger RNA
About the family: Bacterial tmRNA, also known as 10Sa RNA or SsrA, is named for its dual tRNA and mRNA-like properties. Its role is to liberate the mRNA from a stalled ribosome.
Source: RNAcentral
GGGGAUGUUAUUGGCUUCGACGCCGGUGAUGAAACUCAUAGAUGCAUGCCGAGAGCGCAUUUUCUCUCGUAAAUAAAAUUUGCAUUUAAAUAGUCGCAAACGACGAAACUUACGCUCUAGCU